Molecule: unclassified non-coding RNA, 303 nt
Filed under: uncultured fungus
Lineage: Eukaryota; Fungi
Description: partial contains 5.8S ribosomal RNA, internal transcribed spacer 2, and large subunit ribosomal RNA
Rfam family: 5.8S ribosomal RNA (bases 1-52)
Source: RNAcentral
AACGCACCUUGCGCUCCUUGGUAUUCCGAGGAGCAUGCCUGUUUGAGUGUCUUGAAGUCAUCAACCCCUCCCGUUUCGUGCGGCGAGGUGCGUUGGAAGUGGGGGCCUGCGGUCGCGAGCCCGCUCCCCUCAAAUGCUUCGGUUGGGCCUGCGGGUCGAACUCGGUUGGGCGUUGUAACAACCUCGCUCUCCUCCGAGAUGUUCCCCUGUCUUUUGUGCCCCUCCACGACCGUCCGAAGGGUGGCGGUCAAAACAACUUUGAAAUCUGACCUCAAAUCAGGUAGGACUACCCGCUGAACUUAA